GUGGAAAACCUUGAACUGAUGCACUAGCCUGACUCUUUUCGGCGUGGUCAGUGACGGUAAAGGGAAGCUGUACAAGAAACAUAUUUAUAACACGGUCCCAACGCAUUCGAUUUGCAUUAAUGGUGGGUUCCAGCCGCAGCCGCAGCCGUCCGGUGGUAUGUACAUA
This 166-nucleotide small RNA is filed under the name Drosophila pseudoobscura pseudoobscura. RNAcentral's name for it is "GA33006". The record is from RNAcentral. Lineage: Eukaryota; Metazoa; Arthropoda; Insecta; Diptera; Drosophilidae.